Molecule: long non-coding RNA, 371 nt
Filed under: Cavia porcellus (domestic guinea pig)
Lineage: Eukaryota; Metazoa; Chordata; Mammalia; Rodentia; Caviidae
Description: lncRNA (ENSCPOG00000033769.1)
Source: RNAcentral
GUUAAAUGGCCCUCUGCUUCCUUUCCCGCCGCCAGUGCAUAACAUGGAACAUGGGCCCCACCUGCACGGACCACAGAACACAAGAGAUUCAGACACACCCGGGACAUGAUGAAGGCUCUGCUCUAAGUCACCUGGACCUCAUCCCAACACAGUGGCAGUGUCAGGGCUCAGUGUCUGACUGCACGACUGGGAGAUCUGGGUCCAGCAGACACCUGCAGAAGCAGCAGCAAGAUAUUAGCAACACAAGCGCCAGCACCACCUCAGACAACACCUCGCAUUGUACUGACCACUUACUGAAGGCUCUCAUUGUAGAGCUACAGAUUUCUACAGAGGCCCUCCUGGGGUGUUGUGGACUCUCAGAGGGUCUAUAA